This 74-nucleotide transfer RNA is filed under the name Thermoplasmata archaeon. Its description in RNAcentral is "tRNA-Ala". It matches the Rfam family "tRNA". From Rfam's summary of the family: Transfer RNA (tRNA) molecules are approximately 80 nucleotides in length. Lineage: Archaea; Methanobacteriati; Thermoplasmatota; Thermoplasmata. The record is from RNAcentral. RNAcentral also lists the same sequence under 2 other names.
GGGCCGGUAGAUCAGUCCGGUAGAUCGCCGCCUUGGCAUGGCGGAGGUCCGGGGUUCGAAUCCCCGCCGGUCCA